This 253-nucleotide ribosomal RNA is filed under the name uncultured bacterium. RNAcentral's name for it is "partial 16S ribosomal RNA". It matches the Rfam family "Bacterial small subunit ribosomal RNA", at positions 524 to 776 of the family's 1533-position model. The record is from RNAcentral.
UACGUAGGGACCAAGCGUUGUUCGGAUUUACUGGGCGUAAAGGGCUCGUAGGCGGCUUGUCAAGUCACUUGUGAAAUCUCUGGGCUUAACCCAGAACGGCCAAGUGAAACUGACAUGCUAGAGUGCAGAAGGGGCAAUCGGAAUUCUUGGUGUAGCGGUGAAAUGCGUAGAUAUCAAGAGGAACACCUGAGGUGAAGACGGGUUGCUGGGCUGACACUGACGCUGAGGCGCGAAAGCCAGGGGAGCAAACGGG